This 244-nucleotide ribosomal RNA is filed under the name uncultured bacterium. Its description in RNAcentral is "partial 16S ribosomal RNA". It matches the Rfam family "Bacterial small subunit ribosomal RNA", at positions 111 to 354 of the family's 1533-position model. The record is from RNAcentral.
UAACGCGUGAGUAACCUGCCUUGGAGUGGGGAAUAACAGAUGGAAACAUCUGCUAAUACCGCAUAAUACGUCUGUGUCGCAUGGCACUGGACGUCAAAGAUUUAUCGCUCUGAGAUGGACUCGCGUCUGAUUAGCUGGUUGGCGGGGUAACGGCCCACCAAGGCGACGAUCAGUAGCCGGACUGAGAGGUUGGCCGGCCACAUUGGGACUGAGACACGGCCCAGACUCCUACGGGAGGCAGCAG